CCUACGGGUGGCUGCAGUGGGGAAUAUUGGACAAUGGGGGGAACCCUGAUCCAGCCAUGCCGCGUGUGUGAGAAGGCCCUCGGGUUGUAAAGCACUUUCAGUGAGGAAGAACGCCUGGUGGUUAAUACCCAUCAGGAAAGACAUCACUCACAGAAGAAGCACCGGCUAACUCCGUGCCAGCAGCCGCGGUAAUACGGAGGGUGCGAGCGUUAAUCGGAAUUACUGGGCGUAAAGCGCGCGUAGGUGGCUUGAUAAGCCGGUUGUGAAAGCCCCGGGCUCAACCUGGGAACGGCAUCCGGAACUGUCAAGCUAGAGUGCAGGAGAGGAAGGUAGAAUUCCCGGUGUAGCGGUGAAAUGCGUAGAGAUCGGGAGGAAUACCAGUGGCGAAGGCGGCCUUCUGGACUGACACUGACACUGAGGUGCGAAAGCGUGGGUAGCAAACAGGAUUAGAUACCCUGGUAGUC
This 464-nucleotide ribosomal RNA is filed under the name Vreelandella stevensii. RNAcentral describes it as "partial 16S ribosomal RNA". It matches the Rfam family "Bacterial small subunit ribosomal RNA", at positions 338 to 795 of the family's 1533-position model. The record is from RNAcentral. Lineage: Bacteria; Pseudomonadati; Pseudomonadota; Gammaproteobacteria; Oceanospirillales; Halomonadaceae.